This 1474-nucleotide long non-coding RNA is filed under the name Cyanistes caeruleus (blue tit). Its description in RNAcentral is "lncRNA (ENSCCEG00000017694.1)". Lineage: Eukaryota; Metazoa; Chordata; Aves; Passeriformes; Paridae. The record is from RNAcentral.
AUGCCUUUUGACGGCAGGAAUUCAGUUUCUGGGCUGUCUGGGAAUGGGUCGUUUCCAUUGUCUCUGCUCUAUUUAGAUUUCUUUGCUGUACACAGCUCCUUUGUUCUUAUUCAUUUCCCCCAGGUCUGCAGUGUCACACCUUCAUCUGUGCCCUCGAGCUGCUGCUGCAGCCAAGGCAUCUGCUGUAAGCUACAAGGGGAAAACAAAUGGGCAAUGACUGCAUCUGCCUGUUUCUCUUGCUCCCAUCCAGGCCUGAACUGUUCCAGGGAGCUCUUGAGCAACUGCAAGAAGUGCACAGCAGAUGUGCUGUUUGCUGAGCUUGGGAACACCUCCGAGCUCAGAGCAAAGCCCCAGCAAAGCAAGCCAAGAAGACCUGGAGGACACCCUGAGUGGGAGGGACAAUCCAAGCUGUGGAUUUGUCUGCUGCCCUUCACCUGUGGAAGCAUUUUAGAGCAGGGAGACUUGAGAGAGUGAGCUGCUCCCUGAGUCUGAGGUGAUGGUCCAGGUUCACAAAAUGCUGGGAACAUAUCUCACAUUAAAAUGUAUGUCUGGAUUUGAAGGCAUUGAAAAAAACCCUGGUUUUGUAAAAACAAACAAGAAAAAGCCACAGCCCUGGGCAGUAAGAAAUAUCUCAGUCUGAAAGCAAGACAAAUCGGUAUUUCUGUAAAUCCCACAAGGAGAAGUUAUACAGAUUUAUUCUUUUGCUUUGCAUCUCAUUUUAGCCUCAUCCCUUCUGCACUUUUUGUGGACUGCUCCAGUUGCUUGGCUGUCCUGGGUGCUCUCUUGUCUUGCCUGUGCUCACCACCUGGGGAAUCUUUCAUGCAAAGAUUGACCCCACAGCCACGCAGGUCUAUGGAAAUGAGGUGGUGCAUAAAUAAUCACCUGGGUUUGGGCUGUAAUGUGCUGAUCUGACACUGCACCAGCACAGAGCUCCUUUGGGGCUGCUUCUCCCUGCUGGGGGCAGCUGAUGGUGGCACCAAACUGCCCAAGGAGGAGCAGUUCUUCCUUGUGGCCAUGGGGAUGGGAGGGAGAUGGGUGGGGGUGACUGGGGCUCCCCACCCCUGCAGGGGCUCUGGCACAAUCCCUCCCUUUUGGAGUGCUCCAAGGAACUGUGCCUGCAGCGUGAGAUCCAUCCUCUCCUCCUGCAAAGGGAUAACCCAGCAGCUGGGGGGGAGUUUCUGCUGUCUCCUGACUCUUUAUCUGUUCAAAAGAGACACCUCCUCCUCUUCCUCCUCCUCCUCUGGAAUUGCUGAAGUGGCAGCAUGGCAUCGCAUUUCCAGCCUUGGCUAACACCACCCACCUGCUGCCCUGGGUCUGACUGCUGGGGGUUUUGUUCCUUGGCUUUUGUGGUGGAGUGGGCAAGGCCUUUUCUCUCAGCAGCAGCUGCAGAGGACAGACUUGUCUGGACCACGCUGCAGACUGGGGUCAGCUCCCAAAGAGGGGGUGAACAACACAGGGGGGGAUUUGUGCUGCU